UACCCGCUGAACUUAAGCAUAUCAAUAAGCGGAGGAAAAGAAACCAACAGGGAUUGCCUUAGUAACGGCGAGUGAAGCGGCAAAAGCUCAAAUUUGAAAUCGGCCACCAGGUCGAGUUGUAAUUUGUAGAUUGUACCUUGAGAGCGGAUCAAAGUCUGUUGGAACACAGCGCCUUAGAGGGUGACAGCCCCGUAGGAUCUAUUCUCAUUGUAAGGUACUUUCGAAGAGUCGAGUUGUUUGGGAAUGCAGCUCUAAGUGGGAGGUAAAUUCCUUCUAAAGCUAAAUAUUGACGAGAGACCGAUAGCGAACAAGUACUGUGAAGGAAAGAUGAAAAGCACUUUGAAAAGAGAGUGAAAAAGUACGUGAAAUUGUUAAAAGGGAAGGGUAUUGAAUCAGACGUGGUGCUGUUGUUCAGCUUUGCUUCGGCAUGGUGUACUCAGCAGUACUAGGCCAAGGUGGGGUGUUUGGGAGUGAAAAAGGAAUAGGAACGUAGCUCUUCGGAGUGUUAUAACCUGUUUUCAUAGCUCCUCAGGCGCCUCAGGACUGCGCUUCGGCAAGGACUUUGGCAUAAUGAUUCUAUACCGCCCGUCUUGAAACACGGACCAAGGA
Molecule: ribosomal RNA, 609 nt
Filed under: Galactomyces sp. KY-605
Lineage: Eukaryota; Fungi; Ascomycota; Dipodascomycetes; Dipodascales; Dipodascaceae
Description: eukaryotic LSU rRNA
Rfam family: Eukaryotic large subunit ribosomal RNA
Source: RNAcentral